This 433-nucleotide ribosomal RNA is filed under the name uncultured bacterium. RNAcentral's name for it is "partial 16S ribosomal RNA". It matches the Rfam family "Bacterial small subunit ribosomal RNA", at positions 29 to 507 of the family's 1533-position model. The record is from RNAcentral.
AACGAACGCUGGCGGCAUGCCUAACACAUGCAAGUCGAACGAGACCUUCGGGUCUAGUGGCGCACGGGUGCGUAACGCGUGGGAACCUGCCUUUAGGUUCGGAAUAACUCAGAGAAAUUUGAGCUAAUACCGGAUGAUGUCUUCGGACCAAAGAUUUAUCGCCUUUAGAUGGGCCCGCGUUGGAUUAGCUAGUUGGUGGGGUAAAGGCCUACCAAGGCGACGAUCCAUAGCUGGUCUGAGAGGAUGAUCAGCCACACUGGGACUGAGACACGGCCCAGACUCCUACGGGAGGCAGCAGUGGGGAAUAUUGGACAGUGGGCGAAAGCCUGAUCCAGCAAGGCCGCGUGAGUGAUGAAGGCCUUAGGGUUGUAAAGCUCUUUUACCCGAGAUGAUAAUGACAGUAUCGGGAGAAUAAGCUCCGGCUAACUCCGUG